GAGUUUGAUCAUGGCUCAGGACGAACGCUGGCGGCGUGCCUAACACAUGCAAGUCGAGCGAGAUGAUCCCUUCGGGGAGAUUCUAGCGGCGGACGGGUGAGUAACACGUGGGUAACCUGCCUCAAAGAGGGGGAUAGCCUCCCGAAAGGGAGAUUAAUACCGCAUAACAUUAUUUCUUCGCAUGAAGAGAUAAUCAAAGGAGUAAUCCGCUUUGAGAUGGACCCGCGGCGCAUUAGCUAGUUGGUGAGGUAAUGGCUCACCAAGGCAACGAUGCGUAGCCGACCUGAGAGGGUGAUCGGCCACAUUGGAACUGAGAUACGGUCCAGACUCCUACGGGAGGCAGCAGUGGGGAAUAUUGCGCAAUGGGGGAAACCCUGACGCAGCAACGCCGCGUGGGUGAAGAAGGCCUUCGGGUUGUAAAGCUCUGUCUUCUGGGACGAUAAUGACGGUACCAGAGGAGGAAGCCACGGCUAACUACGUGCCAGCAGCCGCGGUAA
RNAcentral lists this ribosomal RNA (497 nucleotides) under uncultured Clostridium sp. Its description in RNAcentral is "bacterial SSU rRNA". It matches the Rfam family "Bacterial small subunit ribosomal RNA", at positions 9 to 523 of the family's 1533-position model. The record is from RNAcentral. Lineage: Bacteria; Bacillati; Bacillota; Clostridia; Eubacteriales; Clostridiaceae.